RNAcentral lists this ribosomal RNA (492 nucleotides) under uncultured bacterium. Its description in RNAcentral is "partial 16S ribosomal RNA". It matches the Rfam family "Bacterial small subunit ribosomal RNA", at positions 28 to 507 of the family's 1533-position model. The record is from RNAcentral.
GGUGAACGCUGGCGGUAGGCCUAACACAUGCAAGUCGAACGGCAGCACAGUAAGAGCCUGCUCUUACGGGUGGCGAGUGGCGGACGGGUGAGGAAUACAUCGGAAUCUACUUUUUCGUGGGGGAUAACGUAGGGAAACUUACGCUAAUACCGCAUACGACCUACGGGUGAAAGCAGGGGAUCUUCGGACCUUGCGCGAUUGAAUGAGCCGAUGUCGGAUUAGCUAGUUGGCGGGGUAAAGGCCCACCAAGGCGACGAUCCGUAGCUGGUCUGAGAGGAUGAUCAGCCACACUGGAACUGAGACACGGUCCAGACUCCUACGGGAGGCAGCAGUGGGGAAUAUUGGACGAUGGGCGCAAGCCUGAUCCAGCCAUACCGCGUGGGUGAAGAAGGCCUUCGGGUUGUAAAGCCCUUUUGUUGGGAAAGAAAAGCAGCAGGUUAAUACCCCGCUGUUCUGACGGUACCCAAAGAAUAAGCACCGGCUAACUUCGUG